GACCCAGAAGUAUGCUAUGGGUUAGUGCGCUGCUUUGCUUAGUGUUAGAGGAGGGCUUCUUUCCCAAAUGGCUUUUACUUUGAAUUAUAUCUUUGAAUCUGCCUCUUUUAUUCAAGUGGGUUUAGGUAUGUUUCCCUCCUGAAAAACGCUGCCUGUUCUAAACUUGUUUGUAUGGAUAGACAAAUUUAUCUUUAAUCUUGAGAGUUUAUUCCAAUAAAAUUCCUGUCGUGAACCUGAGAACCUGCCUAAUGCCGUUAAUGGAGAAACUUG
This 270-nucleotide unclassified non-coding RNA is filed under the name Hevea brasiliensis (rubber tree). Lineage: Eukaryota; Viridiplantae; Streptophyta; Magnoliopsida; Malpighiales; Euphorbiaceae. The record is from RNAcentral.